RNAcentral lists this ribosomal RNA (501 nucleotides) under uncultured Lachnospiraceae bacterium. RNAcentral describes it as "bacterial SSU rRNA". It matches the Rfam family "Bacterial small subunit ribosomal RNA", at positions 8 to 507 of the family's 1533-position model. Lineage: Bacteria; Bacillati; Bacillota; Clostridia; Lachnospirales; Lachnospiraceae. The record is from RNAcentral.
AGAGUUUGAUCCUGGCUCAGGAUGAACGCUGGCGGCGUGCCUAACACAUGCAAGUCGAACGAAGACUGUGUGACGGAACUCUCCGGAGGGAAGACGCGCAGGACUGAGUGGCGGACGGGUGAGUAACGCGUGGGUAACCUGCCCUGUACAGGGGGACAACAGCUGGAAACGGCUGCUAAUACCGCAUAAGCCUACAGUACCGCAUGGUACAGCAGGAAAAACUCCGGUGGUACAGGAUGGGCCCGCGUCUGAUUAGUUAGUUGGCAGGGUAACGGCCUACCAAGACAACGAUCAGUAGCCGGCUUGAGAGAGUGAACGGCCACAUUGGGACUGAGACACGGCCCAAACUCCUACGGGAGGCAGCAGUGGGGAAUAUUGCACAAUGGGGGAAACCCUGAUGCAGCAACGCCGCGUGAGUGAAGAAGUAUUUCGGUAUGUAAAGCUCUAUCAGCAGGGAAGAAAAUGACGGUACCUGACUAAGAAGCUCCGGCUAAAUACGUG